GUUUUUAAGUCUUUUAGCCUCUGUUUGGUUCGGGAUUAAAAAAAAAUUAGCUAUUUCAAAAAUAGAAUUAAGUUUAGGAUUAAAGUAGGGUUAAAAUUUUUUUGUAUUUGAUUGGGGGUUGGAGUUAGUCUAAAAUAAUAAAAAAUAGUGUUUGGUUGGAGUAGGUGGGAUAAGAAGAUAAUGAUUAAUAAAGAAGGAUAAUGAUUGGUUGGAGUAGGUGUGAUAAGAAAGAUAGUGGAUUAUUAUGAAUAGAAAAUAGUGUUUGA
Molecule: long non-coding RNA, 266 nt
Filed under: Ananas comosus (pineapple)
Lineage: Eukaryota; Viridiplantae; Streptophyta; Magnoliopsida; Poales; Bromeliaceae
Description: long non-coding RNA (ACOM_LNC009064)
Source: RNAcentral